Molecule: long non-coding RNA, 635 nt
Organism: Bombus terrestris (buff-tailed bumblebee)
Lineage: Eukaryota; Metazoa; Arthropoda; Insecta; Hymenoptera; Apidae
Exons: 3
Source: RefSeq, a predicted model, not a curated record
ACAUUAUCACAAAAAAGUUUAUAUUUUGUAUUGUGUGUAAGAAGGUUUUUCAUUGUUCAGCAAUAGCAAAAUACGAAACAAAAUUUCAAAAAUACGCAUGUCUUAGUAAACCAACGUGAGUUUCACUUCAGAAAGAGUGUGAAGACACUUCCUACUGCGGCUGGAACGUAAAAUGUGAAUUAAAUAAAAGAACCAUAACUAUCAGCAAUGGUUGCUGGGAGAAAGUGUUGUAGCCGUCAUAACGCGUGAUGUACAAAAUUCAUAUCGAUCGACAUUAUUAACACUGUCAGAACUGUACUGUGACUGUAACUGUAUCUAUGUUCUUCAACAAUAGGGGAUUUAUUCUUUGUCUUCCAACGAUGCGUCCAACAAGCGAUAGCUUUAGAAAGAGAUGAUUGAUAUUUUAUAAUAUGCAUCCUAACUGAAAUUGGCAGUCCCUUAAAAGAACGAUUACGUCAUUUUCUUAUAGGUAUGUACAUAUGUAACUACCGUAUAAACUGCUAACACAAUAACACCAGCAAUCAAGCAGUUUUGUCUCGAUACAAUAAAUGAAAUAAUAUGAAAAUACUGUCAUUAAGUUUCUCUACACUUUACUGAAUCAAUUUAUUACCACUUAAUACUUUGGAUCUAUAAAG